Oncorhynchus tshawytscha (Chinook salmon) is the source of this 1191-nucleotide long non-coding RNA. The record is from Ensembl. NCBI's taxonomy places the organism in Eukaryota, Metazoa, Chordata, Actinopteri, Salmoniformes, Salmonidae.
CUUGUGUCUGAUGUAUUGUUGGAAUGGUAUCAAACACCUGGAAACCUUGUGUCUGAUGUAUUGUUGGAAUGGUAUCAAAAUCUUCUCCAGCCCUUACCACGAGCCUGUCCUCUCCAAUUACCAACCUCCUGUGAUUGUUAGCAUUUAUAUGUGAUUUUAGCUGGAUAGUUAGCUAUAGCAUCUUUGAAUGUUUGAUUGUGUGUUCUGUGUUUGGUAGGCGUUCAGCUGUUUCUCAUUAAACUACUGAUCUAAUUGGGUUGGACGAUAUGUGAAUAAAUCAUAAAUGGCAGCACAUUCCUAAAGUUCUCGCAAUAACUUUCUGGCUUUAUUUUCAAAAUGUGUUUCAAAAACAGUUCAGUGUUUGUCUCAAAUAUGAUCAUUUUAGUAUUCUGUAGCUUUGUGGACUGCCACCCAAUUGUAAAAAACGAUUAAUUUUAUUAUCCUUUAAUAGCGAUCAUGACAAGCCAAAAGGACUUUCGCCGCUUAUUGGGGAGUCUGAUGAGAGGGAGGGGAGAGGAUAUAUUUGAAGUUUUUCUCUCCAUAUGCCUUGUGGUUUUUUGCCAAGGGAUUGUGAUGGUGUGUUUGAAUAUGGAGCUCUGUGUUGAUGUUGUUGUAUAUCCUGUACAUACAGUAGCUGUCCUGUGAGUGUAUGGUUGUGAUGGUGUGUUUGAAUAUGGAGCUCUGUGUUGAUGUUGUUGUAUAUCCUGUACAUACAGUAGCUGUCCUGUGAGUGUAUGGUUGUGAUGGUGUGUUUGAAUAUGGAGCUCUGUGUUGAUGUUGUUGUAUAUCCUGUACAUACAGUAGCUGUCCUGUGAGUGUAUGGUUGUGAUGGUGUGUUUGAAUAUGGAGCUCUGUGUUGAUGUUGUUGUAUAUCCUGUACAUACAGUAGCUGUCCUGUGAGUGUAUGGUUGUGAUGGUGUGUUAUUGAAUAUGGAGCUCUGUGUUGAUGUUGUUGUAUAUCCUGUACAUACAGUAGCUGUCCUGUGAGUGUAUGGUUGUGAUGAUGUGUUAUUGAAUAUGGAGCUCUGUGUUGAUGUUGUUGUAUAUCCUGUACAUACAGUAGCUGUCCUGUGAGUGCAUGGUUGUGAUGAUGUGCCUGUCAAAGGUUGUGUGGUUUAUAUUUUCCCAAAAAUGUUACAAAAUAAAAACAUUUACAUUUAAUUGGUGUUUUUAAGACCUCUAGAAUCAGAC